RNAcentral lists this ribosomal RNA (275 nucleotides) under uncultured prokaryote. Its description in RNAcentral is "partial 16S ribosomal RNA". It matches the Rfam family "Bacterial small subunit ribosomal RNA", at positions 524 to 798 of the family's 1533-position model. The record is from RNAcentral.
UACGUAGGGUCCGAGCGUUGUCCGGAAUUACUGGGCGUAAAGGGCUCGUAGGCGGUCUGUCGCGUCGGUAGUGAAAACUCAGGGCUCAACCCUGAGCGUGCUUUCGAUACGGGCAGACUAGAGGUAUGCAGGGGAGAAUGGAAUUCCUGGUGUAGCGGUGGAAUGCGCAGAUAUCAGGAGGAAUACCGAAGGCGAAGGCAGUCUUCCAAGCCGUUAUUGACCCUCAACUGCGAAGGUGUGGGUAUCAAACAGGAUUAGAUACCCGCGUAGUCCCU